GAUGAAGAACGUAGCGAAAUGCGAUACUUGGUGUGAAUUGCAGAAUCCCGUGAACCAUCGAGUCUUUGAACGCAAGUUGCGCCCGAAGCCAUUAGGCCGAGGGCACGCCUGCCUGGGUGUCGCACAUCGUUGCCCCAAUGCCUCAGCCCUGUUGCAAGGCAUGGCAAAGGGGCGAAUGUUGGCUUCCCGCGAGCGAUGCCCUCACGGUUGGCUGAAAAUCGAGUCCGUGGUGGAGUGUGCCGUGAUAGAUGGUGGUUGAGUGACGAACGAGACCCAAUCAUGUGAGACCCCUACCGAAUUUGGCCUUCAUGACCCACAUGCGUCUUUGGAACGCUCAUGACGAGACCUCAGGUCAGGCGGGGCUACCCGCUGAGUUUAAGCAUAUCAAUAAGCGGAGGA
RNAcentral lists this unclassified non-coding RNA (399 nucleotides) under soil metagenome. Its description in RNAcentral is "partial contains 5.8S ribosomal RNA, internal transcribed spacer 2, and large subunit ribosomal RNA". The stretch from base 1 to 122 matches the Rfam family "5.8S ribosomal RNA", at positions 35 to 154 of the family's 154-position model. The record is from RNAcentral.